Molecule: ribosomal RNA, 520 nt
Filed under: uncultured Glomus
Lineage: Eukaryota; Fungi; Glomeromycota; Glomeromycetes; Glomerales; Glomeraceae
Description: SSU rRNA
Rfam family: Eukaryotic small subunit ribosomal RNA
Source: RNAcentral
AGCAGCCGCGGUAAUUCCAGCUCCAAUAGCGUAUAUUAAAGUUGUUGCAGUUAAAAAGCUCGUAGUUGAAUUUCGGGAUCAAAUUGUCGGUCGUGCCUCGGUACGUACUGGUAUUAUUGGUUCCUCCCUUCUGACGAACCACGAUGUCAUUAAUUUGGUGUCAUGGGAAAUCAGGACUGUUACUUUGAAAAAUUAGAGUGUUUAAAGCAGGCUCGCGCUUGAAUACAUUAGCAUGGAAUAAUGAAAUAGGACGUUUGAUUCUAUUUUGUUGGUUUCUAGGAUCGACGUAAUGAUUAAUAGGGAUAGUUGGGGCAUUAGUAUUCAAUUGUCAGAGGUGAAAUUCUUGGAUUUAUUGAAGACUAACUACUGCGAAAGCAUUUUGCCAAGGAUGUUUUCAUUAAUCAAGAACGAAAGUUAGGGGAUCGAAGACGAUCAGAUACCGUCGUAGUCUUAACCAUAAACUAUGCCGAACUAGGGAUCGGAUGAUGUUAAUUUUUAAUGACUCAUUCGGCGCCUUACG